UGAGGAACAUGACCUUCGGCGGGGGAGUAGCCGGCCCAACGGCCGGGUAAUACCGCGUACGACCACUUUGGGACAUCCCUCGGUGGUGAAAGCAGCAAUGCGCCGACGGAGUGCCUCGCGGCCUAUCAGCUAGUUGGUGAGGUAACGGCUCACCAAGGCGACGACGGGUAGCUGGUCUGAGAGGAUGGCCAGCCACAUUGGGACUAGACGACCGGACCCGACGACCGUACCGUACCGGGACGGACGACG
This 249-nucleotide ribosomal RNA is filed under the name uncultured bacterium. RNAcentral describes it as "partial 16S ribosomal RNA". The stretch from base 1 to 196 matches the Rfam family "Bacterial small subunit ribosomal RNA", at positions 118 to 311 of the family's 1533-position model. The record is from RNAcentral.